AUAUAUAUAUAUAUAUAUAUAUAUAUGUAUGGGUCUUACCGGAACUAGGGUGAAAGUUGGGUAUUUCAUAGUAGAAAAAAACAAAGUAAAGGUUAAAUAAUAGUAGAUUAAACUAGAUCUUUUAGUUGCAAAUAUAUUUUUUAUCAUGUUAUAGUAUUGCAGGGCAUGGUUGCAACUAUGAGCCUUGGGUAUACUGAUACCAUGGGGGACCGGCAGGAUCGACGGGGGGAGCCUCCUGGUUAGAGGAGGAACCGUAGUAUACCUAAUCCUAAUCUUAAGGUUUAUGUACUGGAACUUAUGAGUUGGAUCUUGCUCAUUCUAAGAUAACAGAGAGCGAGGCCUGCUAAGACACUACUAACAGAUUACAGAUUAACUAUGAACUAUAAACUAAACCUUUAAAGACUAAGGCCCAAGUUCAGGACUUUCACAGCCAUUAGUCUCCUGAGGUACAGUUAUAGUACACAGUUCAGUUAAUCUAGAUUAGCAUACACUAAACUAUCUAUAUCUAUUCUAGAUCUAUAUUAAGACUAACUAGCUAAAUCUAUUCUACCAGAACUUAUAUUAUAAUUCUAAUCUAUACUACUAUGGCCUUAUUUUAUCAGAACUAGGACCCUACUCUAUGAAGACUUAUCUAAUCUAUCUAUAUUAUCUAAUAAGUUACUUAUUCUAUGGUUAUCUAAUCCUAGUUGGGUUGCCUAAUCCUAGACUGUAGGUAUUAAGGGUGGGCUAUGGUCAUACUACUGGGUAGAUACUGGACUAUAGCUCUUCUAAAGAUAAAUCUAAAGAUAAACUCUAAGGUUGGACGAUACUAACACCUAAGGUUGGAUACUAUGGGUGAACCUAAGAUUGGUCUAUACUAUGGGUGAACCUAAGGUUGGUCUCUAAAUUUGGACACUAUGGGUGGAUGGACAACACUAAGGCUAGACACCUAGGGUUGGACACUAAGAUGGGACACCUGAUACUAUUGGUGAACACAGAGUGGAAGCUACUAGGUGGGCACUAUGGUGGAUGACAGAGUGGAUGCUACUAUGGAUGCUAUGGUGGGCACUAUGAGGUGAACACUGUAAGAUGAACACUAC
RNAcentral lists this long non-coding RNA (1079 nucleotides) under Elaeis guineensis (African oil palm). Its description in RNAcentral is "long non-coding RNA (EGUI_LNC072026)". The record is from RNAcentral. Lineage: Eukaryota; Viridiplantae; Streptophyta; Magnoliopsida; Arecales; Arecaceae.